RNAcentral lists this ribosomal RNA (460 nucleotides) under uncultured bacterium. Its description in RNAcentral is "partial 16S ribosomal RNA". It matches the Rfam family "Bacterial small subunit ribosomal RNA", at positions 338 to 795 of the family's 1533-position model. The record is from RNAcentral.
CCUACGGGUGGCAGCAGUGAGGAAUAUUGGUCAAUGGGCGGGAGCCUGAACCAGCCAAGUAGCGUGAAGGAUGACUGCCCUACGGGUUGUAAACCGCUUUUAUAAAGGAAUAAAGUGAGGCACGUGUGCCUUUUUGUAUGUACCGUAUGAAUAAGGAUCGGCUAAUUCCGUGCCAGCAGCCGCGGUAAUACGGAGGAUCCGAGCGUUAUCCGGAUUUAUUGGGUUUAAAGGGAGCGUAGAUGGGUUGUUAAGUCAGUUGUGAAAGUUUGCGGCUCAAACGUAAAAUUGCAGUUGAUACUGGAAGCCUUGAGUACAGUUGAGGUAGGCGGAAUUCGUGGUGUAGCGGUGAAAUGCUUAGAUAUCACGAAGAACUCCGAUUGCGAAGGCAGCCUACUAGACUGCCACUGACAUUGAUGCUCGAAAGUGUGGGUAUCAAACAGGAUUAGAUACCCGUGUAGUC